GACGAACGCUGGCGGCGUGCCUAAUACAUGCAAGUCGAGCGAAGUUUUUCUGGUGCUUGCACUAGAAAAACUUAGCGGCGAACGGGUGAGUAACACGUAAAGAACCUGCCUCAUAGACUGGGAUAACUAUUGGAAACGAUAGCUAAUACCGGAUAACAGUAUUUCUCGCAUGAGAGAUAUUUAAAAGUUGGUUAUGCUAACACUAUGAGAUGGCUUUGCGGUGCAUUAGCUAGUUGGUGGGGUAAAGGCCCACCAAGGCGACGAUGCAUAGCCGACCUGAGAGGGUGAUCGGCCACACUGGGACUGAGACACGGCCCAGACUCCUACGGGAGGCAGCAGUAGGGAAUCUUCCGCAAUGGGCGAAAGCCUGACGGAGCAACGCCGCGUGAGUGAAGAAGGAUUUCGGUUCGUAAAGCUCUGUUGUUAGGGAAGAAUGGAUAUGUAGUAACUAUACAUGUAAGAGACGGUACCUAACCAGAAAGCCACGGCUAACUACGUG
Molecule: ribosomal RNA, 499 nt
Filed under: uncultured bacterium
Lineage: Bacteria
Description: partial 16S ribosomal RNA
Rfam family: Bacterial small subunit ribosomal RNA
Source: RNAcentral